CCCUUAGAUGUUCUGGGCCGCACGCGCGCUACACUGAAUGGAUCAACGUGUUUUCCCUUCCCGAGAGGGACGGGUAACCCGCUGAACCCCAUUCGUGGUAGGGAUCGGAGCUUGCAAUUGUUCUCCGUGAACCAGGAAUUCCCAGUAAGCGCAAGUCAUAAGCUUGCGUUGAUUACGUCCCUGCCCUUUGUACACACCGCCCGUCGCUACUACCGAUUGAACGUUUUAGUGAGGUACUCGGACUGAGCCUCAGAAGAUUCACGUCUUUUGUGCUGCUCGGGAAGAUUCCCAAACUUGAGCGUUUAGAGGAAGUAAAAGUCGUANCA
This 326-nucleotide ribosomal RNA is filed under the name uncultured eukaryote. RNAcentral's name for it is "partial 18S ribosomal RNA". It matches the Rfam family "Eukaryotic small subunit ribosomal RNA", at positions 1470 to 1796 of the family's 1831-position model. The record is from RNAcentral.